GACGGACGCUGGCGGCGUGCUUAACACAUGCAAGUCGAACGGAAAGGCCCUGCUUUUGUGGGGUGCUCGAGUGGCGAACGGGUGAGUAACACGUGAGUAACCUGCCCUUGACUUUGGGAUAACUUCAGGAAACUGGGGCUAAUACCGGAUAGGAGCUCCUGCUGCAUGGUGGGGGUUGGAAAGUUUCGGCGGUUGGGGAUGGACUCGCGGCUUAGCAGCUUGUUGGUGGGGUAGUGGCUUACCAAGGCUUUGACGGGUAGCCGGCCUGAGAGGGUGACCGGCCACAUUGGGACUGAGAUACGGCCCAGACUCCUACGGGAGGCAGCAGUGGGGAAUAUUGCACAAUGGGCGGAAGCCUGAUGCAGCAACGCCGCGUGCGGGAUGACGGCCUUCGGGUUGUAAACCGCUUUCGCCUGUGACGAAGCGUGAGUGACGGUAAUGGGUAAAGAAGCACCGGCUAACUACGU
RNAcentral lists this ribosomal RNA (467 nucleotides) under uncultured bacterium. RNAcentral's name for it is "partial 16S ribosomal RNA". It matches the Rfam family "Bacterial small subunit ribosomal RNA", at positions 28 to 506 of the family's 1533-position model. The record is from RNAcentral.